Molecule: ribosomal RNA, 497 nt
Filed under: uncultured bacterium
Lineage: Bacteria
Description: partial 16S ribosomal RNA
Rfam family: Bacterial small subunit ribosomal RNA
Source: RNAcentral
GAUGAACGCUGGCGGCGUGCCUAACACAUGCAAGUCGAGCGAACACAUGAGGAUCUUGCUCCUCUGACGUUAGCGGCGGACGUGUGAGUAACACGUGGAUAACCUACCUUUAAGACUAGGAUAACUUCGGGAAACCGGAGCUAAUACCGGAUAAUAUAUUGAACCCCAUGGUUCAUUAGUGAACGACCGCUUUGCUGUCACUUUGAGAGGGUUCCGCGCCGCAUUAGCUAGUUGGUACGGUAACGGCUUACCACGGCGACGAUGCGUAGCCGACCUGAGAGGGGGAUCGGCCACACUGGGACUGAGACAAGGUCCAGACUCCUACGGGAGGCAGCAGUAGGGAAUCUUCCGCAAUGGGCGAAAGCCUGACGGAGCAAUGCCGCGUGUGUGAUGAAGGUCUUCGGAUCGUAAAACUCUGUUAUGAGGAACGAACAGAUGUGUGCGAAGAUGGGGGCGGCUUGACGGUACCUGAUUAGAAAGCCACGGCUAACUACGUG